This 429-nucleotide ribosomal RNA is filed under the name Bacteroidota bacterium. Its description in RNAcentral is "Bacteroidetes bacterium partial 16S ribosomal RNA". It matches the Rfam family "Bacterial small subunit ribosomal RNA", at positions 355 to 776 of the family's 1533-position model. Lineage: Bacteria; Pseudomonadati; Bacteroidota. The record is from RNAcentral.
UAGGGAAUCUUCGGCAAUGGGGGGAACCCUGACCGAGCAACGCCGCGUGAGUGAAGAAGGUUUUCGGAUCGUAAAGCUCUGUUGUUAAGGAAGAACGAGUGUGAGAAUGGAAAGUUCAUACUGUGACGGUACUUAACCAGAAAGGGACGGCUAACUACGUGCCAGCAGCCGCGGUAAUACGUAGGUCCCGAGCGUUGUCCGGAUUUAUUGGGCGUAAAGCGAGCGCAGGCGGUUAGAUAAGUCUGAAGUUAAAGGCAGUGGCUCAACCAUUGUAGGCUUUGGAAACUGUUUAACUUGAGUGCAGAAGGGGAGAGUGGAAUUCCAUGUGUAGCGGUGAAAGGCGUAGAUAUAUGGAGGAACACCGGUGGCGAAAGCGGCUCUCGGGUCUGUAACUGACGAUGAGGCUCGAAAGCGUGGGGAGCGAACAGG